Molecule: ribosomal RNA, 301 nt
Filed under: uncultured bacterium
Lineage: Bacteria
Description: partial 16S ribosomal RNA
Rfam family: Bacterial small subunit ribosomal RNA
Source: RNAcentral
CAGUCGCCGCGGGAAUACAGAGGGUGCGAGCGUUAAUCGGAUUUACUGGGCGUAAAGCGUGCGUAGGCGGCUUUUUAAGUCGGAUGUGAAAUCCCUGAGCUUAACUUAGGAAUUGCAUUCAAUACUGGGAAGCUAGAGUAUGGGAGAGGAUGGUAGAAUUCCAGGUGUAGCGGUGAAAUGCGUAGAGAUCUGGAGGAAUACCGAUGGCGAAGGCAGCCAUCUGGCCUAAUACUGACGCUGAGGUACGAAAGCAUGGGGAGCAAACAGGAUUAGAUACCCCUGUAGUCCCUGUCUCUUAUAC